RNAcentral lists this ribosomal RNA (449 nucleotides) under uncultured bacterium. RNAcentral describes it as "partial 16S ribosomal RNA". It matches the Rfam family "Bacterial small subunit ribosomal RNA", at positions 29 to 523 of the family's 1533-position model. The record is from RNAcentral.
AACGAACGCUGGCGGCAUGCCUAACACAUGCAAGUCGAACGAACCCUUCGGGGUUAGUGGCGCACGGGUGCGUAACGCGUGGGAAUCUGCCCUUGGCUUCGGAAUAACAGUUAGAAAUGACUGCUAAUACCGGAUGAUGUCUUCGGACCAAAGAUUUAUCGGCCAGGGAUGAGCCCGCGUAGGAUUAGGUAGUUGGUGGGGUAAAGGCCUACCAAGCCGACGAUCCUUAGCUGGUCUGAGAGGAUGAUCAGCCACACUGGGACUGAGACACGGCCCAGACUCCUACGGGAGGCAGCAGUGGGGAAUAUUGGACAAUGGGCGCAAGCCUGAUCCAGCAAUGCCGCGUGAGUGAUGAAGGCCUUAGGGUCGUAAAACUCUUUUACCCGGGAUGAUAAUGACAGUACCGGGAGAAUAAGCUUCGGCUAACUCCGUGCCAGCCGCCGCCGUAA